AAGCUAUAAGAGAAUAAAAAAAGACACGAGAGAAAGAAAACACCAGGAAAGAUGUAGAAGGAGAGCUAGAAGGAAGACACCAAGAGAGACAGAAGGGAUAUAUCAGAGUAGAAAAACAGAACAGAAAAGAAAUAGAGUAGAAGAAACAUCAGUAAAAAUAAUAAAAUGAAGAAUUAAGCUUUGGCCCUGAGAAAAGUCCUCGUGUGCUCGUCUGUCCGGCAGCUCACCUGCUCUGCAUCUCCUCUUCAGUUUCUCUGACCUACUGAAGGCUUGCCAUUCAUCAGCAUCCUAGCUUACAGAUUACAGUCCAUCAUUAAGAGAAGACAAGGCAAGAAUUCAGGAACCUGGAGGCAGGAAGCGAAGCAGAAGCCAUGGAGAAACACAGUUUGCUGGCUCGUACCCCGUGGCUUGCUCAGCCUCCUUUCUUCUACAACCCAGGACCACAUGCCCAGAGGUGGCUCCCAGUGGACUGGGCCUUCCUGCAUCAAUAAAUAAUCAAGAAAGUGCCUCACAGACUUGUGCACAGGCCAAUCUGUUGAAGACAUUUUCUCCAUCGGUGUUCCCUCUUCCCAAAUGACUCUGGUUUGUGACAAGUUAACAAAAUAGUAGCCAGAAUUGGACAUCUGAAGAAAACAACUUGACCCCUUU
This is a long non-coding RNA of Peromyscus eremicus (cactus mouse), 648 nucleotides long. RefSeq lists it as uncharacterized. The transcript is spliced from 2 exons. The record is from RefSeq and is a predicted model, not a curated record. Lineage: Eukaryota; Metazoa; Chordata; Mammalia; Rodentia; Cricetidae.